This 493-nucleotide ribosomal RNA is filed under the name Bacillus licheniformis. RNAcentral describes it as "bacterial SSU rRNA". It matches the Rfam family "Bacterial small subunit ribosomal RNA", at positions 966 to 1460 of the family's 1533-position model. The record is from RNAcentral. Lineage: Bacteria; Bacillati; Bacillota; Bacilli; Caryophanales; Bacillaceae.
GAACCUUACCAGGUCUUGACAUCCUCUGACAACCCUAGAGAUAGGGCUUCCCCUUCGGGGGCAGAGUGACAGGUGGUGCAUGGUUGUCGUCAGCUCGUGUCGUGAGAUGUUGGGUUAAGUCCCGCAACGAGCGCAACCCUUGAUCUUAGUUGCCAGCAUUCAGUUGGGCACUCUAAGGUGACUGCCGGUGACAAACCGGAGGAAGGUGGGGAUGACGUCAAAUCAUCAUGCCCCUUAUGACCUGGGCUACACACGUGCUACAAUGGGCAGAACAAAGGGCAGCGAAGCCGCGAGGCUAAGCCAAUCCCACAAAUCUGUUCUCAGUUCGGAUCGCAGUCUGCAACUCGACUGCGUGAAGCUGGAAUCGCUAGUAAUCGCGGAUCAGCAUGCCGCGGUGAAUACGUUCCCGGGCCUUGUACACACCGCCCGUCACACCACGAGAGUUUGUAACACCCGAAGUCGGUGAGGUAACCUUUUGGAGCCAGCCGCCGAA